AAAAAAAAUAGUCAAUAGGUGGCUGAGCAUGCUUGAGCAUGCUUAAAGGAUAUCUGCAGAUUUUCUUCACACACAUACACUAUUCCAUUUUUCUUUUUUAAUGUUGGUAGAUAGAUAGAAAAAUAGGGGUUUGUAAAGUGAAGUAUAAACAGAAGCAAUAAUUCUUGUCUUGGAAUUUCUAUAUCUGUAAUAUUGUAUUGCGUUUUUAAAUAAAAACAACUCCCGGGUUUUGUUAAUAUCGCGUGUUUAUAAAACUACUCGAUAUCAUGCUUCCUUGCUUAGCUAAAAUAAUUCUAAAUUAAAUCCGUAGAUUUAAUUCUUCAUAAGCCGGAAUAAAUUCACGACUCAAGAAAUAAUAAUAAAAAUAGAAAAAUAAUUCUAUUGUGAUUAAUAAAUAACAUGACUUCG
RNAcentral lists this long non-coding RNA (408 nucleotides) under Salvia miltiorrhiza (redroot sage). RNAcentral describes it as "long non-coding RNA (SMIL_LNC002699)". Lineage: Eukaryota; Viridiplantae; Streptophyta; Magnoliopsida; Lamiales; Lamiaceae. The record is from RNAcentral.